Molecule: ribosomal RNA, 251 nt
Filed under: uncultured prokaryote
Description: partial 16S rRNA
Rfam family: Bacterial small subunit ribosomal RNA
Source: RNAcentral
ACGGAGGGAGCAAGCGUUGUCCGGAAUUAUUGGGCGUAAAGCGCUCGUAGGCGGGAAUUUAAGUCCGGGAGUAAAUAAACAGGCUUAACCUGUUGAUCAUUCCGGAUACUGGAUUUCUUGAGGACAGGAGAGGAAAGCGGAAUUCCUAGUGUAGCGGUGAAAUGCGUAGAUAUUAGGAGGAACACCAGUGGCGAAGGCGGCUUUCUGGCCUGAUCCUGACGCUGAGGAGCGAAAGCCAGGGGAGCGAACGG